Long non-coding RNA from Diabrotica virgifera virgifera (western corn rootworm), 2341 nucleotides. RefSeq lists it as uncharacterized. The transcript has 2 exons. Lineage: Eukaryota; Metazoa; Arthropoda; Insecta; Coleoptera; Chrysomelidae. The record is from RefSeq and is a predicted model, not a curated record.
UUCGUCAAAUUAAAAAUACAAGAGUUAUAAAUGAAAAUGAUGUUGGUAUCCAUAAUUUGAGAAAAUUCGUCAAAUAUUUUUUCCAUUAGAAGGAUGUAAUUUCAUAUAUCAGAACAUCCUUUUUUAUUCCAAACCACAUUUUAAAUAACAAUUUUCCAAUAUUGUAAAAUAAAUAAUACAUACAUGAUAAAGAUACAUUUUACUGAUGAACUUUACUUGGAUCUACAGACCGAGCGAGUCUCGUAAAUUCCACGGAUUUGCGCCACGCUUCACGCAACCGUAUUUACGUAUUUGUAUUUUGAGUUGUGUGGUCGUGCGCUGGUCGAGUGGAGUUAAAUUUACCAAAUUUAAAUAUAAUCGUUUCUACUGAUUCAUUAUUAAUAUAGUAUAAUAUGUAUUAUUGCUUUCAAAAUAUACUCAAAUUGUAUUUUUAUACAUUUAUUACACAUAUUAUUUUAUAUAAUAAUUAAAUUCACUAUAAAAUGUCAUUUAUAUUUUAUUAAUAGCCAAAUAAUUUAAAAUUUAAUUUGACAUUCACGAAGUGUCAAACUCAAAUGUAAAUAAUAACAUUUGCUUUGCUUAACAAAUUCAGAUUAAAAAAGUAGCCUACUUCCUAAUCAAAGAUUUCAGCUGACGUUUAGUGCGUGGUAGGAAAUAACCGGAUUGUGACGUCACAUUUUAGAGUUUGAGGUCGAUUAUCUCGAAGACGGUUAGAGAUAUCGAAAUGCCGUUUUCAGAUUUGGAUUGAGAAGACAAAACUACAUAAGAAUCCAUCGAUACAUCUGCUCUAAGUAUUGCAGGAGCGGCAACGCAAUAACACACAGACUUUUGCAAAUUUAUAAACGAAAAGUUUUCGUUGAAAAUAAGAUCAUAUUAUUUACCCAACUAUAACAUUCCGUUAACUUCUAAUCAUUUUUAUUGUUAUGCGAUUUAAAUUUUAAUAAUGUUCUGUUAUUAAAUUCUACUUGAAACAAUUACUAAUAAAUAUUUCGUCUUUCACUGACGUCAUCACAAACCUAUAGAUUAGCAGACCUGUACGUUUUGUACCUUGUGUACUCCUGGCGGUAAACCCCUGAAAAGUAUUGUGACAUGGUCGGCGUAGAACGGAAAAUAAGAUAUCACUUUGGUCGAAGCCUUCAACCGAAUAAGUACCUAGUGGCAGAUAACCUAUCCACGUAAAAGUGGCGAAUAUUUCAUUCUUGUUUCAAGUCAUAGUAUUAUUUUGAAAAGAAACUAUCCAAGUUUAUUACGUAUGUGUUUAGUGGGCUGAAGAAACGAGGUUGGAGGUUCGCAACAGUGAGUUGUGGUUUAUCUGCCACUGGGGAAAAUCUUUUAACUACUCCUACCACCUGAGAAGGACCGCUUUUCGACCAAGUCACCUAGGGGACAAGUACUAGAGGAACAUGUAAUUUUUGUUCGUCAUUAUCCUGCAUUUUGGAGAAUUGCCGUGUUAUGGUUGACUGCGUAGCACCAUUCUGUGCUUAAGACUUUACUGAGAAGUAGUAAGGAAAACUUGUGGGGACAAUAUCAGGUCAAUCGGGUUUGUUUCGUGAACUUUUUAUAUUUAACAGUGCAGUAGUUAUCUACCUAUACCAGUACACUUAUACACUUAUUUUUUUUAUAAUAUCCAGAACAUUUAAGUAAUUAACAUACACAUAAUUCAAUAGAGCUCCCACACCUGUAUGUCUCUUUGUAAAAGAGGAUAAUUUGGGCCCAAAUAACCUUUUCCCAUACAGUAGUUCCUUACAUUUAUUUUUUAUUAAUAUUAUUAGACUUGUUUCCCAUAUUUUUCAUAUAACUAUAUAUAUCUUUUAAUAUUAUUAGCUUGUUUCUUGUAAUUUAAAUUCCCAAUCUGUUUGCUUAACUUAAAUUCAUUUGUUAUUAAAUUAAAUUCAAUCCCUAAUCCCUAUCCCUUCAGGAUAGCUAUUAGUUUUACUUGGUCAUUAUUAAAAACCACGAGUCAGAAAAAGGAUCUUUAUCAUCCAGGACUGCGUUGGUUCAGUUAGGUGUUGCCUAUUCAACUCAUUGAGUUAUAUAUAUUUGUAUGGUUCAUCCUAGGUAGGUAUUUUAGUAUUGAUUUCUUGUAGUAUUUAACGUUGCUGUACGUAUUACAAUCGUACGAUUAUUUGGUGAAGGUUGUUGUUUAACCUUAGUGUAAGUUGGGGGUACGCUCCAUAUAAGAGCUACCCCAGUACUAAUGUAAUUAUAGUUGUAUACUCAUAUUCAGAUAAGUAGUUAAGUCAAAUUGUCAUUUUAGAGCUACAUAGGUUGUAUUUUUUCUAACUCAGAGGUUGUCAAUAAUCUAGGUAGUUAUAUUUUAAUAAAUAUUUAUUUGUUUGUA